AUGUUUUUAAAAAGUGUAUUUUCAUGUAUGCCUAUAUUGGCUGUUCCUUGUGUGUUUCUGCAUGGCAGGUCUGAUGAAAUCAGUUGUACAUUUCCAUGCAUUGGGAUCCUGUUCAAUGUAUCAGCAAAACACUAUAUGGGUAGUAGAGCAGCAAAAUGUUUUAAGGAAAAUCAAAACAAAAGAUUUCUUGUGAAUGCUGCAGAAUGCUUGAAAUUUAAUUUGAAUGUCAAUUUUUUAUGUCCUGGCACAUUUGUUUGGCUGCGGAGAUGGCAGUUUGUCUUAUUAUUUUCAUCCUCAGAGCUGGAGAAAAGGGUUCCAUCUUGAGCCCCAGAAACUGAACUGAUUGAUGAAGUUAUGGAGAUUUGUACCAAACUCAAUGGGAUUUUACAUUAAGAACCUUCUGAACACUAAUUAUUCCCAGUAAAUUUAUAUUUCUUUUUCAGAUCAAAUGCAUCCGUUAAGUUUCUCUCUCUCUCUCUCUCUCUCUCUGUAUUAUUAUUCUUGCUAUUAUUAUUUUGAUUUCUGUUAACAGAAGUUUUUGGCAUUGAAAUGCGAACUCCAUUAGUAGUUUUAGAGCAUAGCAGAAUGCAAGGGUUAUAAAUAUUAGCAUAUUUAUUCAAUCAAUAUUUUAGGCUGCUUUGUGGUAUUGUAGUGUAUGAGUGAUUGUAUAUAUGUAAAAAAUAAUUGAGACAGAUUUUGAAACCCAUGGUGUUAGCCUUUGCUCCUGGCUUUGACCAAACCUUUGACCAACAAAUGUACAAGAACCCACCAGAUAAAAUUUGAAAGUUUGCAGAAAUGGUCUUUGUGUCAUUUGUACUUUGCUCAUGUCCUGUUUGGCUUUUUGAUUUACUUUGACCCUGUUGGUCUUUCAAAUUUAACAAAUUCCAACCAUAUGAACUAAAGUGAGGCCAUGCAGAAUUAAUGCUGACCACUAGAGGGAAAUGUUGAUUAUGAAUAUAGAUGUCUCUUCAGUUUUAGGGCAUGUGCUCCAGUAAUCUAAAUAAAUAUUUACACCACUAGAUGAUAAAUGAAAGCUAAUACAACACAUUGUUAACCUUCACACAAUUGAUGUGAAAUGUAAAUGUAACAUUGACUGGAUAGAUAAAGAAUAUUUUCCCUCAAAUAUAAAAUGAUUUCUAACAAAAACAUUUAACUUUAAAACUUGGAUUCAAUUAAAUUUGUAUUUUGUAUAUGUUAUAGCUUGAUGAAUAAAGCCGAUAGAGGGCAAUAUAUAUAUAUUUUUUAAAAUAAAUACCGUUUUAUAAUUACAAUGCCAAACGGCAUUAACGUUACCUUUGACAUUAAUAAAUCCGCGGCUUCUAUCAGCGACGACCGUUGCAAUUCAAACUGUAUUUGCGCGACCUGUUUUAACCCAGCGUGCAGUAGUUUAUUAAUUUUUUCUUAAAUUAUGAAACUGUUAUAAUCUUCUUUCUGAAUAACAAGAUGCAACCUAUUAAUACAGCAAAGGUGAGAGUUGCGCGCGUGAGGGGGUGUGGCCACGCUAAUCCAUUAAAGUGCUCGUGCUGCCAAAUCGAUGGCGUUUGACAUGCGGAGUGUGUGUUGAUUUCCCCAGCAAUGGACGUCAGUUAAUUAAUAUAUCAUCAGCACUAAACCUGAUAUUAUUUAUUUACCGGUACGUACAUCCAGAAAGUUCUUACAUUUUCUGUCACUUUCUGUUGCUUUUCUCAUAAUUUCACGAUAAUCGGUGAUGUUUGACUGUUUUACUGGCUAACUGCCUUGUCAAAUAUGUUGCCCAUAAUUUUACACAAUUUCUGAGUUAACUUAUUUGUUUACAAAAGAAAUAAUGUAGUGAUGUCUAUCACUGUAUUUGUUUGAUCGGCCUCUUUUGUAAACACGUGGA
Molecule: long non-coding RNA, 1861 nt
Organism: Carassius auratus (goldfish)
Lineage: Eukaryota; Metazoa; Chordata; Actinopteri; Cypriniformes; Cyprinidae
Source: Ensembl